Lontra canadensis (Northern American river otter) is the source of this 1395-nucleotide long non-coding RNA. RefSeq lists it as uncharacterized. The transcript has 2 exons. The record is from RefSeq and is a predicted model, not a curated record. NCBI's taxonomy places the organism in Eukaryota, Metazoa, Chordata, Mammalia, Carnivora, Mustelidae.
GCAGGGAGAAGCAAUAGUGAGAGCAGGUCUGUAGGGGAGUGAUGGUGGGGACACAGACCAGAGUGACAAUCAGAGAGGAAGACUGAGAAGAGAAACUGAGGUUCACAGAAGUUAAAUGAGUUGUCUAAGAUGACAAGUUACAUUGUGGAGCCAGGACCCAGAACUUUGGCCAAUGGCUGUGAUUCUUCCACAAAGCCACGUGGACACUUUCAUCUGGUCGUGUUUACUGGUUUCAUUUUUUCACGCACCCAGGGUGCCUAUUAAUCGACUUCAUUCAAUUUGCAAGAGUGUCUGCUCUACUGUUUGGAUAGUCUGUAGACCGCAAUGACAGCUAGGAUGUCCUUGAGGCAGAAGUGUCCUCUUGUGUCUUCAGCCUCACGGAAGCCAGUACCCCAGCCACGUGGCUGCGACCCAAGGGUUAACGCCGCCACACUUCAGAGCAGUUGACAAAUUGCUCACAGCUGUCUGGGGUGAAAGAACUCAUCUCUGAGAACUGACAUUUUUCUCCUUCAGUUUUUAAAGAGACAAGUGUGCCUCCUUUUUCUCUUCACUUCUCACGACUGAUCUGCUUUGAAGCGGUCCCUGCACAUGCUGGUUUGUCUCACCAGCGUCUUCACGCUCGUUUUCUUCUCAGACUUAACCUCCGUUUUUAACCAGGACACCUUCUCACUCCAUCUAUCCUGUUUCAAAUGACACAAAAGAAGAGAUUUCAUUACAUCUCCGCCGAAGCGAGAUACUCUGCCACUUGGAAAUGCUUCUCGAUUAUUGCAUUUAAUUGGAAUGGGUGGCCCGUUAGCACGGAUGGUGGAAGGGAAUGACUUCUGCCUCCAACAUGAAAAUGUGUUGUGUGAACUUCUUAAUGUGGAUGACUUAUCUCAUGAUUGAGGUUAACGGAGGUCAGUGGUUUUCAGAGUGUUGAUAUCAGGAAUCACAAAGAAAGCUAACAUAUAUGGGAAUAUAAUUAAUAAAUAGAUAAAAGAGAGUUUUGAAGAUCGCCAGCUCUAAUGAACAAAUAGAAAAGAUCCUAAUUUUAUUCUCACCCAAGUGCUCGCACUAACCUUGAAAUGCCACUCAUGGGGUGUCAGUUUACCAAGACAAUCUUUAAAAGCUUGCUAAAUAAAAAUUGUUUAUUUGUGGCAUUAUUUUUUUUAAUUCCUCAAAACUACUGCUGCCACAGGAAACCAAAUUUCUUUUUUUUUUCAAGCUGGUUAUUGUAAAGUAUCUAGUUUUUAAUUUACUCAUGCUGUAUGAAGUCUACUAAACCACAAUAAUUUAUAAUUUAUGUGGCCCACAACUGAGUACAGUUUAAGGAACAAAUUGUCAAGAAGCCACAUGACAAUAAUUGAACUAUUCCGUGUCACACUGUGAAUUUCCAAAGUACUCAACAAGUUGUUU